This 209-nucleotide unclassified non-coding RNA is filed under the name plant metagenome. RNAcentral describes it as "partial contains small subunit ribosomal RNA, internal transcribed spacer 1, and 5.8S ribosomal RNA". The record is from RNAcentral.
UCUCCGUUGGUGAGCCAGCGGAGGGAUCAUUACUGGAAUCGCAAGAUCCCACAACCCUGUGAACCUACCGAAACGUUGCCUCGGCGGGUGCCCGGCCUCUGCGCCGGGCGCUGCGCCCGCCGGCGGCCCCCUACUCUGUCUCUGCAGCGUGGCAUCUCAGAGUCCCAGAAAACAAGUCAAAACUUUCAACAACGGAUCUCUUGGCUCUA